CGUGGGGGCAGCUUACCAUGCAGUCGAACGGUAACAGAGAAUAGCUUGCUAUUUUGCUGGCGAGUGGCGGACGGGUGAGUAAUGCUUGGGAAUUUGCCUUGUUGCGGGGGACAACAGUUGGAAACGACUGCUAAUACCGCAUAAUGUCUACGGACCAAAGGUGGCCUCUAUUUAUAUGCUAUCGCGACAAGAUGAGCCCAAGUGGGAUUAGCUAGUUGGUAAGGUAAUGGCUUACCAAGGCGUCGAUCCCUAGCUGGUCUUAGAGGAUGACCAGCCACACUGGAACUGAGACACGGUCCAGACUCCUACGGGAGGCAGCAGUGGGGAAUAUUGCACAAUGGAGGAAACUCUGAUGCAGCCAUGCCGCGUGUGUGAAGAAGGCUUUCGGGUUGUAAAGCACUUUCAGCGAGGAGGAAAGGGUAAUGGUUAAUAUCCAUUAUCUGUGACGUUACUCGCAGAAGAAGCACCGGCUAACUCCGUGCCAGCAGCCGCGGUAAC
RNAcentral lists this ribosomal RNA (498 nucleotides) under uncultured Psychromonas sp. RNAcentral describes it as "bacterial SSU rRNA". It matches the Rfam family "Bacterial small subunit ribosomal RNA", at positions 37 to 524 of the family's 1533-position model. Lineage: Bacteria; Pseudomonadati; Pseudomonadota; Gammaproteobacteria; Alteromonadales; Psychromonadaceae. The record is from RNAcentral.